This 428-nucleotide ribosomal RNA is filed under the name uncultured bacterium. RNAcentral's name for it is "bacterial SSU rRNA". It matches the Rfam family "Bacterial small subunit ribosomal RNA", at positions 355 to 776 of the family's 1533-position model. The record is from RNAcentral.
UGGGGAAUAUUGGGCAAUGGGCGCAAGCCUGACCCAGCCAUGCCGCGUGAGUGAUGAAGGCCUUCGGGUCGUAAAGCUCUGUGGGAAGGGACGAAAAAAACGGGUCUAAUACACCCGGGCUUGACGGUACCUUCUUAGCAAGCACCGGCUAACUCCGUGCCAGCAGCCGCGGUAAUACGGAGGGUGCAAACGUUGCUCGGAAUCAUUGGGCGUAAAGCGCACGUAGGCGGUCGGCUAUGUCGGAUGUGAAAGCCUCGGGCUUAACCCGAGAAGGGCAUCCGAAACUGGCCGGCUUGAGUACGGAAGAGGGUCUCGGAAUUCCCGGUGUAGAGGUGAAAUUCGUAGAUAUCGGGAGGAACACCAGUGGCGAAGGCGGAGACCUGGGCCGAUACUGACGCUGAGGUGCGAAAGCGUGGGGAGCAAACAGG